RNAcentral lists this transfer RNA (83 nucleotides) under Colletotrichum higginsianum. RNAcentral's name for it is "tRNA CH063_16298". It matches the Rfam family "tRNA". From Rfam's summary of the family: Transfer RNA (tRNA) molecules are approximately 80 nucleotides in length. Their secondary structure includes four short double-helical elements and three loops (D, anti-codon, and T loops). RNAcentral also lists the same sequence under 2 other names. The record is from Rfam by way of RNAcentral. Lineage: Eukaryota; Fungi; Ascomycota; Sordariomycetes; Glomerellales; Glomerellaceae.
GCCUUGUUGGCUAAGUGGUAUAGCGUCUCACUAGUAAUACUGGUGUCAUGAGAAGAUCGGCGGUUCGAUUCCGCCACGAGGCA